CCGGUGGCUUUCGCCACCGGCUAAAUUCCGGCGUCCCUUCGGGACU
Molecule: small RNA, 46 nt
Organism: Chthoniobacter flavus Ellin428
Lineage: Bacteria; Pseudomonadati; Verrucomicrobiota; Spartobacteria; Chthoniobacterales; Chthoniobacteraceae
Rfam family: Acido-Lenti-1 RNA
Source: Rfam